AAAGGGGGGAACNUNGUCAGCAGGCAGGAGGNCUGCAUGUGCUGUUCUGUAGUCCUGUGCACCUUAUGUAGUCCCAAGAGCCUUCACGGGUGGCGGUUGACUACGUCUACCUCACACCUUAAAGUAUGUUAACGAAUGUAAUCAUGGUCUUGACAGACCCUAAAGAAGUUAAUACAACUUUCGACAACGGAUCUCUUGGCUCUCGCAUCGAUGAAGAACGCAGCGAAAUGCGAUAAGUAAUGUGAAUUGCAGAAUUCAGUGAAUCAUCGAAUCUUUGAACGCACCUUGACGCCCUUUGGUAUUCCGAGGGGCAUGCCUGUUUGAGUGUCAUUAAAUACCAUCAACCCUCUUUAUGACUUCGGUCUCGAGAGUGGCUUGGAAGUGGAGGUCUGCUGGAGCCUAACGGAGCCAGCUCCUCUUAAAUGUAUUAGCGGAUUUCCCUUGCGGGAUCGCGUCUACCGAUGUGAUAAUUUCUACGUCGUUGACCAUCUCGGGGCUGACCUUGGUCAGUUUCAAUAGGAGUCUGCUUCUAACCGUCUCUUGAUUGAGACUAGCGACUUGCGCGCUAACUUUUGACUUGACCUCAAAUCAGGUAGGACUACCCGCUGAACUUAAGCAU
This 619-nucleotide ribosomal RNA is filed under the name Schizophyllum commune. RNAcentral describes it as "eukaryotic LSU rRNA". The stretch from base 176 to 330 matches the Rfam family "5.8S ribosomal RNA". The record is from RNAcentral. Lineage: Eukaryota; Fungi; Basidiomycota; Agaricomycetes; Agaricales; Schizophyllaceae.